CAGCGGAAUAUAUGGGCCACACAGGACUGAAUGGUUGCUGGGUGGGUCAUGACCCGGAAGUUGUUGAUUCUCCUACUGUGUGUCACCUUGGCAACAUGCGAUACAAGGAAAUGUAAAAAAGAGUGUAAAAACGGCCAGAAAUGUACACGGAUUGGUUCCCUUGAGUUGUGUGGUG
Long non-coding RNA from Haliotis rubra (blacklip abalone), 175 nucleotides. RefSeq lists it as uncharacterized. NCBI's taxonomy places the organism in Eukaryota, Metazoa, Mollusca, Gastropoda, Lepetellida, Haliotidae. The transcript is spliced from 3 exons. The record is from RefSeq and is a predicted model, not a curated record.